Tachysurus fulvidraco (yellow catfish) is the source of this 1271-nucleotide long non-coding RNA. RefSeq lists it as uncharacterized. The record is from RefSeq and is a predicted model, not a curated record. The transcript is spliced from 3 exons. NCBI's taxonomy places the organism in Eukaryota, Metazoa, Chordata, Actinopteri, Siluriformes, Bagridae.
AUAGCCUCGAUUCUCCUGUUUCUCUGGCUCUGGCAGCAAAACAAGUCCGGGCAAAUUCAGCCUUUCCUCAGCUUUUAAAGGAUGCUCACUAGAUAUACAAGUUUCACUAACUUAAUAUUUUUCUGUUACGUGAAGACAGGCUUUUUUGUGCAUGGGCUUCAGCAGUGGCUUCCUUCGUGGACGACAGCCAUUCAUGUCAAGUCACAUUUAUCGUCUCAGGAAGAAGAGGCGUUGGUGUGCCUUCUUCAGCACUGCGUCGGUGUGUAUGGACCAGAACCUGCACAUGUUGGAGAACCGGUUAGAGAAAGCACAGCUGAAAUGUCAGGAGGCUGAACACAUCAUAAGGAACUACCAAGCACUAAAGGAGCACUUGCAGAUAACACACACACACACACACACACACACACACACACACACACACACACACACACACACACACACACACACACACACACACACACACAAACACGCAAACUGAAGUACCCUGUGUAUUACUCAUCAUUUUAAUUUCUACUGCAUCCUUACAGUCACAUGAAAACACAAUUUUUUUAGCCCUUUUGCAACUUAACCCUUAACCAUCCCCAGAAUCUGUGGAGGUGAGCUGGAGACCUUUGCUGUAUUUACCUUUACUGUAUUUACAAGCCAUUCUUGUGUUUUCCAAAUUGUUAACUAUGCUGUUGUUAUCAUUUAAUUUAACAAACACACUUUCUGUCUGCUGCAGUAUUUAUUUACUGUGUUAAUGGAAGAAGGAGGUCAAGGCCUGGUGGACAUUAAGAGUCAUAUGCGAGCAGCUCAAAGACUGCUGUACCUUAAAGGUCAUAAAGACUUGGACACAAAGAGCAGGUUUAAUUCUGCAACAAGCAGAUUGGACUGGACACUUAUUUUUACUUAAAGGUGAUAAGAUCAGUCUCUGAUGAGUCUGUGUGAGAUUACACUAUUUUAUAAGUCAGUGCGACAAGCCUAGAGAAUCAUUUUAAAAAGAAAAGGACUGUGAAGCGAGGGAACUGGACUUCUGAUAAACCCUUCAUUGUUAACCUCAUGAUUCAAACCGGACUUUAAUCACACCAUGUUCAGAUAUUUAGCCUGUAGGCCUGUUUUUUUAACUGUUAAUGACUUUGUAAAUGCUCUUUUCUUCUGCUUGCCUAAUGAAAGACCCUUUUACUGCUGCGUUAUGAAAUCUUUCAGUGAUCGAUCUGGGGGAGCUGCUCUACCUUCUCUGUAUUUCUACCUUCACAUCCUUCUGGUAUCUUGUAGAUUCUCAUGUUAUUACA